CCAGUGUUGAUCAGUGGCUGUCCAGGCCUUUCAGAGCCACUGACACGCCGGCAGCACAAUGAUGAUGUCUCUGACUCUACUGCUGGCCACCCUGGGGCUCCUUGUUCAGGGUUCAUCAGGAGAAAUCAUCCUGACUCAGUCUCCUGGAUCUCAGUCUGUUGUUCCAGGACAGACUGUCUCUAUCAGAUGUAAAGCCAGUUCGGAUGUUAGUAGCUGGCUCAACUGGUACCUUCAGAAACCUGGAGAAACUCCUAAACUCCUGAUUUAUAAAGAUACAAACCGUGAAUCUGGAGUUCCAGAUCGUUUUAGUGGAAGUGGAUCAAGGACUGACUACACUCUGACCAUCAGUGGAGUUCAGGCUGAAGAUGCUGGAGUUUACUACUAUCAGCAGAGUAACAGCUUCCCGUUCACACAGUGAAAAAGUGUCGUACAAAAACCUCCCUCAGCUGCAGAGGAACUGAUCUGACUCAACGGCUGCACUGAAAGUAAAACAACAGAAGUUGUACUAAAAGAUGAAGUUAAUACUGAUCCACUUUAAAUAUUUUAACACUAAAUGUACUGAAUUUAAUCCAGAAGGUUUAUACUGUCAAUCCUUUCAUUAAAAUCCUGUUUGGAACAUUCUGCUGAACAUGAAAGUUAACCUCAGCUGAGGUUUGGUAAUGUGAAAACAGAAAGAGUGAAUAUUCUUUUCUCAGACCAUUUUCAUAU
Seriola dumerili (greater amberjack) is the source of this 708-nucleotide non-coding RNA. The record is from the annotation of a RefSeq genome assembly. NCBI's taxonomy places the organism in Eukaryota, Metazoa, Chordata, Actinopteri, Carangiformes, Carangidae.